This 450-nucleotide ribosomal RNA is filed under the name uncultured Glomeromycotina. RNAcentral describes it as "SSU rRNA". It matches the Rfam family "Eukaryotic small subunit ribosomal RNA", at positions 569 to 1025 of the family's 1831-position model. Lineage: Eukaryota; Fungi; Glomeromycota. The record is from RNAcentral.
AGCAGCCGCGGUAAUUCCAGCUCCAAUAGCGUAUAUUAAAGUUGUUGCAGUUAAAAAGCUCGUAGUUGAAUUUCGGGAUCAAUACGUCGGUCGUGCUUCGGUACGUACUGGCGUAAUUGAUUUCUCCCUUCUGACGAACCAUGAUGUCAUUAACUUGGUGUCAUGGGAAAUCAGGACUGUUACUUUGAAAAAUUAGAGUGUUUAAAGCAAGCUAACGCUUGAAUACAUUAGCAUGGAAUAAUGAAAUAGGACGUUCGAUCCUAUUUUGUUGGUUUCUAGGAUUGACGUAAUGAUUAAUAGGGAUAGUUGGGGGCAUUAGUAUUCAAUUGUCAGAGGUGAAAUUCUUGGAUUUAUUGGAGACUAACUACUGCGAAAGCAUUUGCCAAGGAUGUUUUCAUUAAUCAAGAACGAAAGUUAGGGGAUCGAAGACGAUCAGAUACCGUCGUAGUC